UUAUUUUUGCUGAAUAGUGCAUAUAGGCAUUUCCCAUUUGAAUGGUUUUACAGUAGUAAUUUUAGGGCCCUUUUUAGCUUGUUGUUCGGUGUGAGCCAAGGCUCCGUGUUGAAGGCCGUACAUUGACCUAUAAUGGUUUACUUUUAUAAUUUGUUAUUUGGAUGGAGAGUUGUCUCAUUGGCACUAACACCACAUCUUCCUAUAUCUAUGUAAAAUAUCUUUUAAAGAUUUCAGGUAUAUGAAAUAUUAACCAGUAGGACAGUAUAAAUUCUGCCCCUCCUUCCAUGCAAAAAAAAACAAAUUAUGUGAUUUAUUGUUGAAUUUUAUUGCCACAUUCAGUAUUGGCUAGGUGUUGUGGCCAGGUUUUAUUGGUGGUGGAUACAUUUAAUAUCU
This 393-nucleotide long non-coding RNA is filed under the name Mytilus galloprovincialis (Mediterranean mussel). Lineage: Eukaryota; Metazoa; Mollusca; Bivalvia; Mytilida; Mytilidae. The record is from RNAcentral.